This 529-nucleotide ribosomal RNA is filed under the name Metschnikowia reukaufii. Its description in RNAcentral is "partial large subunit ribosomal RNA". It matches the Rfam family "Eukaryotic large subunit ribosomal RNA", at positions 15 to 501 of the family's 3401-position model. Lineage: Eukaryota; Fungi; Ascomycota; Pichiomycetes; Serinales; Metschnikowiaceae. The record is from RNAcentral.
CUUCGUAAGACUACCCGCUGAACUUAAGCAUAUCAAUAAGCGGAGGAAAAGAAACCAACAGGGAUUGCCUCAGUAACGGCGAGUGAAGCGGCAAAAGCUCAAAUUUGAAAUCCUUCGGGAAUUGUAUUUUGAAGGUGGGUUUGGUUAGGAAAAGUUACUUUAAGUCCAUUGGAAAAUGGCGCCAUGGAGGGUGAUAGCCCCGUAAAAGUACCCCUUUUCCUUUUAUCCAUUCCCUCCAAAGAGUCGAGUUGUUUGGGAAUGCAGCUCUAAGUGGGUGGUAAAUUCCAUCUAAAGCUAAAUAUUGGCGAGAGACCGAUAGCGAACAAGUCCAGUGAUGGAAAGAUGAAAAGCACUUUGAAAAGAGAGUGAAAAAGUACGUGAAAUUGUUGAAAGGGAAGGGCUUGCAAGCAGACACAACCUCGGUUGGGCCAGCAUCGGAGUGGGGGGAGACAAAAAAGAAAAGGAAUGUAACUCUUUCGAGUAUUAUAGCCUUUUCUCAUAUCUCCACCCCCUUCCGAGGCCUGCGAUC